UACGAAGGGGGCUAGCGUUGCUCGGAAUCACUGGGCGUAAAGCGCACGUAGGCGGACUCUUAAGUCGGUGGUGAAAUCCUGGAGCUCAACUCCAGAACUGCCUUCGAUACUGAGAGUCUCGAGUCCGAGAGAGGUGAGUGGAACUGCGAGUGUAGAGGUGAAAUGCGUAGAUAUUGGGAGGAACACCAGUGGCGAAGGCGGCUCACUGGACCGGUACUGACGCUGAUGCGCGAAAGCGUGGGGAGCAAACGGG
This 253-nucleotide ribosomal RNA is filed under the name uncultured bacterium. Its description in RNAcentral is "partial 16S ribosomal RNA". It matches the Rfam family "Bacterial small subunit ribosomal RNA", at positions 524 to 776 of the family's 1533-position model. The record is from RNAcentral.